This 465-nucleotide ribosomal RNA is filed under the name Vreelandella stevensii. Its description in RNAcentral is "partial 16S ribosomal RNA". It matches the Rfam family "Bacterial small subunit ribosomal RNA", at positions 338 to 795 of the family's 1533-position model. Lineage: Bacteria; Pseudomonadati; Pseudomonadota; Gammaproteobacteria; Oceanospirillales; Halomonadaceae. The record is from RNAcentral.
CCUACGGGUGGCAGCAGUGGGGAAUAUUGGACAAUGGGCGAAAGCCUGAUCCGGCCAUGCCGCGUGUGUGAAGAAGGCUUUCGGGUUGUAAAGCACUUUCAGUGGGGAAGAAAGCCUUGGGGCUAAUACCCUCGAGGAAGGACAUCACCCAUAGAAGAAGCACCGGCUAACUCCGUGCCAGCAGCCGCGGUAAUACGGAGGGUGCGAGCGUUAAUCGGAAUUACUGGGCGUAAAGCGCGCGUAGGCGGUCUGAUAAGCCGGUUGUGAAAGCCCCGGGCUCAACCUGGGAACGGCAUCCGGAACUGUCAGGCUAGAGGGCAGGAGAGGAAGGUAGAAUUCCCGGUGUAGCGGUGAAAUGCGUAGAGAUCGGGAGGAAUACCAGUGGCGAAGGCGGCCUUCUGGACUGACACUGACGCUGAGGUGCGAAAGCGUGGGUAGCAAACAGGAUUAGAUACCCGAGUAGUC